This 343-nucleotide unclassified non-coding RNA is filed under the name soil metagenome. RNAcentral describes it as "partial contains 5.8S ribosomal RNA, internal transcribed spacer 2, and large subunit ribosomal RNA". The stretch from base 1 to 120 matches the Rfam family "5.8S ribosomal RNA", at positions 35 to 154 of the family's 154-position model. The record is from RNAcentral.
GAUGAAGAAGGUAGCGAAAUGCGAUAAGUAAUGUGAAUUGCAGAAUUCAGUGAAUCAUCGAAUCUUUGAACGCACAUUGCGCCCGCUAGUAUUCUGGCGGGCAUGCCUGUCCGAGCGUCAUUUCAACCCUCAAGCCCCCGGGCUUGGUGUUGGGGAUCGGCGAGCCUCCGCGCCCGCCGUCCCCUAAAUCUAGUGGCGGUCUCGCUGUAGCUUCCUCUGCGUAGUAGCACACCUCGCACUGGGAAACAGCGCGGCCACGCCGUUAAACCCCCAACUUCUGAACGUUUGACCUCGGAUCAGGUAGGAAUACCCGCUGAACUUAAGCAUAUCAAUAAGCGGAGGA